UUAACUUUAUUUAUAUAUGCUCAGACAACUAAAAGUUUCAGUGGUUUUGCGUUCCUCCGGCAGGCGCCAGCAAGCCGGCUCAGAAGGUCUCUCCCAGAGACCGCCUGCCAAAGGAAUAAAAGAGUAGAUUCACAGUGGGUUUGGAGUUUUGACACUCUGUAAUGAUCCCUCCGCAGGUUCACCUACGGAGA
RNAcentral lists this unclassified non-coding RNA (191 nucleotides) under uncultured fungus. RNAcentral describes it as "sequence contains ITS1". The record is from RNAcentral. Lineage: Eukaryota; Fungi.